RNAcentral lists this long non-coding RNA (479 nucleotides) under Coturnix japonica (Japanese quail). RNAcentral's name for it is "lncRNA (ENSCJPG00005000402.1)". The record is from RNAcentral. Lineage: Eukaryota; Metazoa; Chordata; Aves; Galliformes; Phasianidae.
CGGGAUGGGAGUCUAUGUCUAGACGUUCAAAUGAUGGAAGAAGUGCAUGUGUAGGUGGACUUAUAGAACUAUGUAAAUAUCUCUGAGAUUUGGGAUAUUGAGGACUCCUUUUUCUGGUCCCUGCUUACAGCUUGACACAACAUCAGCUCUAGUAGGCAGGCUGUCUACGGAAAUUCUGUUUCACAUACUUGAGCACACAUUCCGAAAGCCCCCCUGGAGAUCUCCCUUGAAAAUGUUCAAAGAGGAAUUUUGAAAAGUUUGGAGUGAUGAGUGGAAGAUUGAACAAGUGUUUGCAAGCAUGUUCCCAGUAAAGAGAGAAGACAUUGUUUGCUAACUAGUGUAAGUACAUUGGGGAGAAAACUGCAGUUUUGUGACCGUGGGGAAAGACUGGGAACGUUCAAGAGCUGAAACAGGUUUGUUUCUUAUUUGUUCUUUCCCUGUGUAAGAAGGUAAUGUUGGGGAGACUUUGAAAACUGCAG